UCAAGUGAAGAAGCGCAUACGGUGGAUGCCUUGGCAGUCAGAGGCGAUGAAAGACGUGGUAGCCUGCGAAAAGCUUCGGGGAGUCGGCAAACAGACUGUGAUCCGGAGAUGUCUGAAUGGGGGAACCCAGCCAUCAUAAGAUGGUUAUCUUGUACUGAAUACAUAGGUGCAAGAGGCGAACCAGGGGAACUGAAACAUCUAAGUACCCUGAGGAAAAGAAAUCAACCGAGAUUCCCUUAGUAGUGGCGAGCGAACGGGGACCAGCCCUUAAGUUGUAUUGAGAUUAGCGGAACGUUCUGGAAAGGACGGCCAUAGUGGGUGAUAGCCCUGUACGCGAAAAUCCCUUUGCAAUGAAAUCGAGUAGGACGGGGCACGAGAAACCUUGUCUGAAUAUGGGGGGACCAUCCUCCAAGGCUAAAUACUACUGACUGACCGAUAGUGAACCAGUACCGUGAGGGAAAGGCGAAAAGAACCGCGGAGAGCGGAGUGAAAUAGAUCCUGAAACCGUAUGCGUACAAGCAGUGGGAGCCCACUUUGUUGGGUGACUGCGUACCUUUUGUAUAAUGGGUCAGCGACUUAUUUUCAGUGGCGAGCUUAACCGAAUAGGGGAGGCGUAGCGAAAGCGAGUCUUAAUAGGGCGUCUAGUCGCUGGGAAUAGACCCGAAACCGGGCGAUCUAUCCAUGGGCAGGUUGAAGGUUGGGUAACACUAACUGGAGGACCGAACCGACUACCGUUGAAAAGUUAGCGGAUGACCUGUGGAUCGGAGUGAAAGGCUAAUCAAGCUCGGAGAUAGCUGGUUCUCCUCGAAAGCUAUUUAGGUAGCGCCUCAUGUAUCACUGUAGGGGGUAGAGCACUGUUUCGGCUAGGGGGUCAUCCCGACUUACCAAACCGAUGCAAACUCCGAAUACCUACAAGUGCCGAGCAUGGGAGACACACGGCGGGUGCUAACGUCCGUCGUGAAAAGGGAAACAACCCAGACCGUCAGCUAAGGUCCCAAAGUCAUGGUUAAGUGGGAAACGAUGUGGGAAGGCUUAGACAGCUAGGAGGUUGGCUUAGAAGCAGCCACCCUUUAAAGAAAGCGUAAUAGCUCACUAGUCGAGUCGGCCUGCGCGGAAGAUGUAACGGGGCUCAAACCAUGCACCGAAGCUACGGGUAUCAUCUUUUGAUGAUGCGGUAGAGGAGCGUUCUGUAAGCCUGUGAAGGUGAGUUGAGAAGCUUGCUGGAGGUAUCAGAAGUGCGAAUGCUGACAUGAGUAACGACAAUGGGUGUGAAAAACACCCACGCCGAAAGACCAAGGUUUCCUGCGCAACGUUAAUCGACGCAGGGUUAGUCGGUCCCUAAGGCGAGGCUGAAAAGCGUAGUCGAUGGAAAACAGGUUAAUAUUCCUGUACUUCUGGUUAUUGCGAUGGAGGGACGGAGAAGGCUAGGCCAGCCUGGCGUUGGUUGUCCAGGUUUAAGGUGGUAGGCUGAGAUCUUAGGUAAAUCCGGGAUCUCAAGGCCGAGAGCUGAUGACGAGUGUUCUUUAGAACACGAAGUGGUUGAUGCCAUGCUUCCAAGAAAAGCUUCUAAGCUUCAGGUAACCAGGAACCGUACCCCAAACCGACACAGGUGGUUGGGUAGAGAAUACCAAGGCGCUUGAGAGAACUCGGGUGAAGGAACUAGGCAAAAUGGCACCGUAACUUCGGGAGAAGGUGCGCCGGUGAGGGUGAAGCAUUUACUGCGUAAGCCCACGCCGGUCGAAGAUACCAGGCCGCUGCGACUGUUUAUUAAAAACACAGCACUCUGCAAACACGAAAGUGGACGUAUAGGGUGUGACGCCUGCCCGGUGCCGGAAGGUUAAUUGAUGGGGUUAGCGCAAGCGAAGCUCUUGAUCGAAGCCCCGGUAAACGGCGGCCGUAACUAUAACGGUCCUAAGGUAGCGAAAUUCCUUGUCGGGUAAGUUCCGACCUGCACGAAUGGCGUAACGAUGGCGGCGCUGUCUCCACCCGAGACUCAGUGAAAUUGAAAUCGCUGUGAAGAUGCAGUGUAUCCGCGGCUAGACGGAAAGACCCCGUGAACCUUUACUAUAGCUUUGCACUGGACUUUGAAUUUGCUUGUGUAGGAUAGGUGGGAGGCUUUGAAGCGUGGACGCCAGUCUGCGUGGAGCCAACCUUGAAAUACCACCCUGGCAACUUUGAGGUUCUAACUCAGGUCCGUUAUCCGGAUCGAGGACAGUGUAUGGUGGGUAGUUUGACUGGGGCGGUCUCCUCCUAAAGAGUAACGGAGGAGUACGAAGGUGCGCUCAGACCGGUCGGAAAUCGGUCGUAGAGUAUAAAGGCAAAAGCGCGCUUGACUGCGAGACAGACACGUCGAGCAGGUACGAAAGUAGGUCUUAGUGAUCCGGUGGUUCUGUAUGGAAGGGCCAUCGCUCAACGGAUAAAAGGUACUCCGGGGAUAACAGGCUGAUACCGCCCAAGAGUUCAUAUCGACGGCGGUGUUUGGCACCUCGAUGUCGGCUCAUCACAUCCUGGGGCUGAAGCCGGUCCCAAGGGUAUGGCUGUUCGCCAUUUAAAGUGGUACGCGAGCUGGGUUUAGAACGUCGUGAGACAGUUCGGUCCCUAUCUGCCGUGGACGUUUGAGAUUUGAGAGGGGCUGCUCCUAGUACGAGAGGACCGGAGUGGACGAACCUCUGGUGUUCCGGUUGUCACGCCAGUGGCAUUGCCGGGUAGCUAUGUUCGGAAAAGAUAACCGCUGAAAGCAUCUAAGCGGGAAACUUGCCUCAAGAUGAGAUCUCACUGGAACCUUGAGUUCCCUAAAGGGCCGUCGAAGACUACGACGUUGAUAGGUUGGGUGUGUAAGCGCUGUGAGGCGUUGAGCUAACCAAUACUAAUUGCCCGUGAGGCUUGACCA
This 2890-nucleotide ribosomal RNA is filed under the name Pseudomonas amygdali pv. tabaci. Its description in RNAcentral is "23S ribosomal RNA". It matches the Rfam family "Bacterial large subunit ribosomal RNA". Lineage: Bacteria; Pseudomonadati; Pseudomonadota; Gammaproteobacteria; Pseudomonadales; Pseudomonadaceae. The record is from RNAcentral.